RNAcentral lists this ribosomal RNA (266 nucleotides) under uncultured Methanosaeta sp. RNAcentral's name for it is "partial 16S ribosomal RNA". It matches the Rfam family "Archaeal small subunit ribosomal RNA", at positions 189 to 454 of the family's 1478-position model. The record is from RNAcentral. Lineage: Archaea; Methanobacteriati; Methanobacteriota; Methanomicrobia; Methanotrichales; Methanotrichaceae.
AAAGGCUCCGGCGCCUCAGGAUGGGUCUGCGGCCAAUCAGGGUAGUAGUGGGUGUAACGUACCUACUAGCCUACGACGGGUACGGGUUGUGAGAGCAAGAGCCCGGAGAUGGAUUCUGAGACAUGAAUCCAGGCCCUACGGGGUGCAGCAGGCGCGAAAACUUUACAAUGCGGGCAACCGCGAUAAGGGGACCUCGAGUGCUGGGUUACAAACCUGGCUGUUGGGCUGCCUAAAAAGCAGUCUAUAGCAAGGGCCGGGCAAGACCG